RNAcentral lists this long non-coding RNA (212 nucleotides) under Gossypium barbadense (sea-island cotton). RNAcentral's name for it is "long non-coding RNA (GBAR_LNC008170)". Lineage: Eukaryota; Viridiplantae; Streptophyta; Magnoliopsida; Malvales; Malvaceae. The record is from RNAcentral.
AAGACUUAUAACUUCGACCUGCUCUACUGCAACUUCAGAGAGAUAAGACUUGUAACUUCGACCUGCUCUACUGCAACUUCAGAGAGAUAAGAUCUGUAAUUUAGCUUCAAUCUGUUCCACUGCAACAUCAGGGAAAUAUGAUUUUCUAUCUUUAGUCUGCUCCACUGCAACUUCAGGGAGAUAAGACUUGUAACUUCGACCUACUCUACUGC